RNAcentral lists this ribosomal RNA (1236 nucleotides) under metagenome. Its description in RNAcentral is "bacterial LSU rRNA". It matches the Rfam family "Bacterial large subunit ribosomal RNA", at positions 1564 to 2810 of the family's 2925-position model. The record is from RNAcentral.
UGAGUACGAGAUGCUACGGCAUCGAAGCAGUCUAUGUCAUACUUCCAAGAAAAGCUUGCACUGUCAUAAACAAAGAAUGCCUGUACCAUAACCGACACAGGUGGGUAGGUAGAGUAUACUAAGGGGCGCGAGAUAACUCUCUCUAAGGAACUCGGCAAAAUGACUCCGUAACUUCGGGAGAAGGAGUGCCUUAUUUCUAAGGUUGCAAUAACAAGAUCCAAGCAACUGUUUACCAAAAACACAGGUCUCCGCUAAGUCGUAAGACGAUGUAUGGGGGCUGACGCCUGCCCAGUGCCAGAAGGUUAAAGAAGUUGGUUAGCAUUAGCGAAGCUGAUAACUGAAGCCCUGGUGAACGGCGGCCAUAACUAUAACGGUCCUAAGGUAGCGAAAUUCCUUGUCGGGUAAGUUCCGACCCGCACGAAAGGCGUAAUGAUUUGGAUACUGUCUCGGAGAGGGGCUCGGUGAAAUAGACUUGUCUGUGAAGAUGCGGACUACCUGCACCUGGACAGAAAGACCCUAUGAAGCUUUACUGUAACUUGAGAUUGAAAUUGGACUUUAUUUGCGCAGUAUAGGUGGGAGGCGCUGAGGAUAAUCUUGCGGGAUUGUUGGAGCCAUCAGUGAGAUACCACUCUUGUAAUGUUAGAUUUCUAACUUUGUAUCAUUAUCUGGUCAAAGAACAGUUUCAGGCGGGCAGUUUGACUGGGGCGGUCGCCUCCCAAACGGUAACGGAGGCGCACAAAGGUUUCCUCUGAACGGGUAGAAAUCGUAUCUAGAGUGUAAAGGCAUAAGGAAGCCUGACUGUGAGACCUACAAGUCGAGCAGGGACGAAAGUCGGUCUUAGUGAUCUGACGGUGCUGAGUGGAAAGGCCGCCAUUCAACGGAUAAAAGUUACUCUAAGGAUAACAGCUGAUCUCCCCCAAGAGUUCACAUCGACGGGGAGGUUUGGCACCUCGAUGUCGGCUCAUCGCAUCCUGGGGCGGUAGUACGUCCCAAGGGUUGGGCUGUUCGCCCAUGAAAGCGGUACGCGAGCUGGGUUCAGAACGUCGUGAGACAGUUCGGUCCAUAUCCGGUGUAGGCGUUAGAAUAUUGAGAGGAGCCUUCUCUAGUACGAGAGGACCGAGAAGGACAUACCUCUGGUGUACCAGUUAUCGUGCCAACGGUAAACGCUGGGUAGCUAUGUAUGGAGUGGAUAACCGCUGAAAGCAUCUAAGUGGGAAGCCCACCUCAAGAUAAGUA